AACGGUUCGCAAAUGGUACGCUGC
This 24-nucleotide non-coding RNA is filed under the name Arabidopsis thaliana (thale cress). The record is from RNAcentral. Lineage: Eukaryota; Viridiplantae; Streptophyta; Magnoliopsida; Brassicales; Brassicaceae.